UUGAUGUUUUCUUGUAUGAAUUUUUAAUGAUUUUUUUUUGUUUUCUCAAAAGUUUUGUAUGCACAGAAGCUUUUUCAAAAUUUUGAGUAAAAAUUAUUUGUUCAGACUAUCAAUUGAGACAAGAUAUAUUUCAAGUAAUUAAAAAAGUUAUCGAUAAAUUUAAGAAUUAUCAAUGCGCUUCGUCUUAUAAUAACUAGACUAUAAUCUAUAAUUAAAAAAUGAAAAUAA
This 228-nucleotide long non-coding RNA is filed under the name Solanum tuberosum (potato). Its description in RNAcentral is "long non-coding RNA (STUB_LNC005305)". The record is from RNAcentral. Lineage: Eukaryota; Viridiplantae; Streptophyta; Magnoliopsida; Solanales; Solanaceae.